RNAcentral lists this small nucleolar RNA (221 nucleotides) under Aureobasidium pullulans EXF-150. RNAcentral's name for it is "Fungal small nucleolar RNA U3". It matches the Rfam family "Fungal small nucleolar RNA U3". From Rfam's summary of the family: Small nucleolar RNAs (snoRNAs) are involved in the processing and modification of rRNA in the nucleolus. There are two main classes of snoRNAs: the box C/D class, and the box H/ACA class. Lineage: Eukaryota; Fungi; Ascomycota; Dothideomycetes; Dothideales; Saccotheciaceae. The record is from Rfam by way of RNAcentral.
GACCCCCUUCAAGAUAGAAUCUUUUUCAUUUAGUUUGUCUUCUUAUCUGAACUCUUCAAAAGAGCCACAGAACUCCAACCUGGCGGAUGAGAUAUAUCCUCGGUGCCUUAGAGUGAUACCAAGUACUUUAGCUCCGGCUUCAGUGGUGAUGAUCUCGACCCUUUUGAGUGUCUGGCUUCGGUCGGCUUGAUUGGGUAGGCACUGAUGGACUUCUGACAGGC